GGCGGAGCCCGAGGACGAGGUCCUUAUAAAAGCCAUAUAGCACGAGACGGUGUGUUAUAAAUGAUAUAUGUUAGGGUGGAGCCACACAUUCAACAAGUAUGUACUGUGGGCGGUCAGUUUACACAAGCACAAAGCCACAGUGCAUGUAUGGGGCACUGCAGUGCGUGUAUGGAAUAUGCAAGUCCUGCUAAUCCUUUGAUGUGUGGCUUCAUCAUGAUAUAUAUAUAUAUAUAUAUAUAUAUAUAUAUAUAGCCUGUAGUUACACUUGCGACCGCGAUCAAAAGCUUUGAUCUGCAUAAAAAGACGUUUGACACCUUGAUCUACAGGCUUGAUUUCCCUUGAUGCUUGAUUUGAUGAACUCAAGUGCUUGCACAGCUAAUUAAAAAUUCAUAGAACUGCAUAAUCAAAGAUAUACGAAAAAUAUGCAUAUCCUGAUGCCUGCUACAGACUGUCUUGAUUCCUUAAUCGCAACCUGAUUGUCCCUUUGAUGUCUUGAUUUUGAUUUGAUCGUGGUCGCAAGUAUAUAACUACAGGCUUGAUGGAAGUGACGCCCCUUGAGUAAUGACUAGUAUAAGAUUAAUUGUAAUUGUUAUCUUAAUCACUAUAAUUAAUGUCCCUUUAAUUACUGUAUAAUUACUGGGGUUUAUUUUGAGGCUGAUAAUUUUCUCGAGUAACCUGUAUCCGGAGGUUCAAAAAAUUAAUUGUUGGGAAUUUUCACUAUUCUGCCAUCUUGUACCAUAUUAAGUUGAUUGUCAAGGAAUUUAAUUGCGCAAUUUUUUUAAAAUCCACAAAAUUUGCAAAAUUUUGUUAUCCUCAAAUAACGGUAUGUUGUGCAUGUAGGAGCUAUCCAACACAGAGUUUCUUUUUUCAAUUUUUUUUGCUAUUAAGAAAUAAACAGCCAGGCCUCUAAUUGGUAAAAUACGGUAGUUUUAAUUGAGUAUAGUCCUCAUAGACGGCUGCAGGGUUGGGCAUAGUCGGGCAAUGCCCAACCAAAAAUUUUGAUCGGAAAUGAGAAAUUAAUUAAUGACAUCAUUUUUAGUCAUGAAAAAUUACCAUGUAGCUAGCAAGAGAGUCUUUUUUGCUUUCCUUUGUCAACAAGCCUUCCAGGAGGACCAGGACUGGCACUUUACAGGUUGUAUGGAGCUUUACAGAAACUUGAUAAAAGAGGAGAGGAUUUAUCAAGGAUUGAGAAACAAACAGAAAAGCUUGCCACUGGUGCUGCUGACUUUGCUUCUGUUGCUGAGAAGUAUCAAAAGAAAAGGUUUGAGGAACAAACAAAAAAGCUUGCCACUGGUGCUGCUGACUUUGCUUCUGUUGCUGAGAUGUAUCGAAAGAAAAGGAUUGAGGAGCAAACAGAAAAGCUUUCCACUGAUGCUGAUAUCAGACUUUGCUUCUGUUGCUGAAAGGCUUGCUGAGAAGUAUCAAAAGAAGAUAUUUUAAUUCAUUGAAAUUGUAAAAUAAAUUUAAUGCACGCACACACACACACGCUCAACUACAUGCAUGUUGUUAUUAAUAAUGUUAAUUGCUUUAUUCUUUGAAUUUCAUCUUGUUCAUCUAAGAUUAUUAAUAGUUGCAACGAUUUAUUAUGAUUACACAAA
Amphimedon queenslandica is the source of this 1598-nucleotide long non-coding RNA. RefSeq lists it as uncharacterized. The record is from RefSeq and is a predicted model, not a curated record. NCBI's taxonomy places the organism in Eukaryota, Metazoa, Porifera, Demospongiae, Haplosclerida, Niphatidae. The transcript is spliced from 2 exons.